Molecule: long non-coding RNA, 592 nt
Organism: Siniperca chuatsi (mandarin fish)
Lineage: Eukaryota; Metazoa; Chordata; Actinopteri; Centrarchiformes; Sinipercidae
Exons: 3
Source: RefSeq, a predicted model, not a curated record
GUGUUUGACUGGUGGCGUUGUUUUCAACUGACAGCACUGCUGCUUGGAACCAAGAGCCGCCCUGCUUACACAUCAGCGGACCGCCAGACUCACCCUGAACAAACAAGCCAGACGGGUAUGGUAAAAUGACUGGAAUUAUACCAUCCAUGACAUCACUCCAGGUGUCUCACCUUGAGAAGCAGUUGGCGUUGCUCAACACAGCGUCCACAGCCACCAGAGUCCCACCACACACAUGACUUCCAUUCUUCUGUAGGCUCGCCAUCCAUGGCCACACACCAGCUGUCGCCACCGAGCUUCCUCCCAAAAUACGUGAAUUCAAUGGGGCUCUGCCGCAGACCACAGCUGGAGAGAGAAGCAAAAGGACGAGGACCAGGGCGAGGACCAGGGCGAGGACCGGGGCGAGGACCGGGGCGAGGACCGGGGCGGCGUGAUAAACAGUUUCACUCUGUUCUACUGAUCGACAGUUGGUGGCAUUAACGCACAAACUAACGUAGAGAGAAGAAGACUGCUUGCAGCCAAACAUGGAUGUAAACAAUGCAUAAUUUCAAAUAUUUAAAAAAAUCAGCUUUGCAAAUGUUUAAUGAAGAAGAUA